CCGAUGAAUGUGUGAUCAUUAAUUGACCAGUGUGAACUGUCCAACAGAUCUUUAGGGGUCGGCACAGGUAGAAGUGGUCGUUAAAUGGUGGAUAUUCCUUCCAGCAGCCCCGCCAUUGUGUGUUACUAUGCAUAUUGAACGUAAAGGACUGAGAGAACGUAUCUUCAUGAUCACCAUGAAAGGAAAAACUUUUAAAGAAAGAGACAAACAACUUUUGACGGUGGAUCUCUUGGCUCACGUAUCGAUGAAGAACGCAGCCAGCUGCGAUAUGUAGUGUGAAUUGCAGAAUUCAGUGAAUCAUUGAAUCUUUGAACGCAAAUGGCGCUCUUGGGUUCUCCCAGGAGCAUGUCUGUCUGAGUGUCGGAUUUUAUCGAACGCACACUCACUCGUGAGUGUGCGGUAUUGAGGUGUCACGGCGUGAAGAAUCAGUGUAUUAAUGAUCGCCGUGUCCCUUGAAGAGCAGCAGCAGCAGCAGCGUUCUCUAUUGAAACUUGAGUGCGAAGGCUAAAGAUAUUGCUAUUUUCCUUCGCUCCAGGUUGGUUUAGGGUUGUUGGGUUGCUGAAAAAGAGAAACAAAACAAAUCCAAUCAAUCUUGACCUCAGAUCAGGCAAGGCUACCCGCUGAAUUUAA
This 630-nucleotide ribosomal RNA is filed under the name Porites furcata. Its description in RNAcentral is "partial 18S ribosomal RNA". The stretch from base 210 to 363 matches the Rfam family "5.8S ribosomal RNA". Lineage: Eukaryota; Metazoa; Cnidaria; Anthozoa; Scleractinia; Poritidae. The record is from RNAcentral.